Molecule: ribosomal RNA, 253 nt
Filed under: uncultured bacterium
Lineage: Bacteria
Description: partial 16S ribosomal RNA
Rfam family: Bacterial small subunit ribosomal RNA
Source: RNAcentral
UACGUAGGGGGCAAGCGCUAUCCGGAUUCACUGGGUGUAAAGGGAGCGUAGACGGCCAUGCAAGCCUGGAGUGAAAGCCCGGGGCCCAACCCCGGGACUGCUCUGGGAACUGUGCGGCUGGAGUGCGGGAGGGGCAGGCGGAAUUCCUGGUGUAGCGGUGAAAUGCGUAGAUAUCAGGAGGAACACCGGCGGCGAAGGCGGCCUGCUGGACCGCGACUGACGUUGAGGCUCGAAAGCGUGGGGAGCAAACAGG